AAGUCGUAACAAGGUAACCGUAGGUGAACCUGCGGUUGGAUCAUUAAAAAAUGCAGAUGGUCUUCAAGACCUAUCUACCAACCCCAUUGUGAACUGUUUAUUGUCUCUGGUGUGUAUAUAUUUCUCUUUUGAGAGAUAUACUUUGGCUUUUUCAUUAAAGCGGCACACUGUUAUAUCAUUAACUUUGUAUAAACAUUAAAACAGCCUAAAAAAUCUAAAAAAGUAAUUAAAAACAACUUUUGACAACGGAUCUCUAGGCUCUC
Molecule: unclassified non-coding RNA, 263 nt
Filed under: fungal sp.
Lineage: Eukaryota; Fungi
Description: partial internal transcribed spacer region
Rfam family: Eukaryotic small subunit ribosomal RNA (bases 1-46)
Source: RNAcentral